GCGUCUGUGGCUUAACUGGAUAGAGCAGCGGGUUUCGGCCCCGCGGGUUGAGGGUUCGAAUCCUUCCAGGCGUGCCA
RNAcentral lists this transfer RNA (77 nucleotides) under Campylobacterales bacterium. Its description in RNAcentral is "tRNA-Arg". It matches the Rfam family "tRNA". From Rfam's summary of the family: Transfer RNA (tRNA) molecules are approximately 80 nucleotides in length. Their secondary structure includes four short double-helical elements and three loops (D, anti-codon, and T loops). Lineage: Bacteria; Pseudomonadati; Campylobacterota; Epsilonproteobacteria; Campylobacterales. The record is from RNAcentral.